GUAUCAAUGAUAACAAUAAGUCUCUGAGGACAUUAAUUGACUCAUACAAAUUGCAAUCUGAGGUCC
This is a small nucleolar RNA of Chionomys nivalis (European snow vole), 66 nucleotides long. RefSeq annotates it as small nucleolar RNA SNORD109A. The transcript has a single exon. Lineage: Eukaryota; Metazoa; Chordata; Mammalia; Rodentia; Cricetidae. The record is from RefSeq and is a predicted model, not a curated record.